RNAcentral lists this ribosomal RNA (250 nucleotides) under uncultured bacterium. RNAcentral describes it as "partial 16S ribosomal RNA". It matches the Rfam family "Bacterial small subunit ribosomal RNA", at positions 524 to 773 of the family's 1533-position model. The record is from RNAcentral.
GACGAAGGGGGCUAGCGUUGUUCGGAAUUACUGGGCGUAAAGGGCGCGUAGGCGGCUCUAUAAGUCAGGCGUGAAAGCCCUGGGCUCAACCUGGGAGUGGCGCUUGAUACUGUGGGGCUAGAGAGUGGGAGAGGUUGGUGGAAUUCCCAGUGUAGAGGUGAAAUUCGUAGAUAUUGGGAAGAACACCGGUGGCGAAGGCGGCCAACUGGACCAUUUCUGACGCUGAGGCGCGAAAGCGUGGGGAGCAAAC